Molecule: transfer RNA, 68 nt
Filed under: Marmota monax (woodchuck)
Lineage: Eukaryota; Metazoa; Chordata; Mammalia; Rodentia; Sciuridae
Description: tRNA.Ala
Source: RNAcentral
GGAUAUAGCUCAGUUGGUAAGGUGCUUGCCUUGCCUGCACGAGUCCCUAGGUUCAAUCCCCAGCACCA